This 248-nucleotide ribosomal RNA is filed under the name uncultured bacterium. Its description in RNAcentral is "partial 16S ribosomal RNA". It matches the Rfam family "Bacterial small subunit ribosomal RNA", at positions 796 to 1041 of the family's 1533-position model. The record is from RNAcentral.
CCAGCUGUAAACGAUGAGUGCUAGGUGUGGGGGGCGACAAUCCUCCGUGCCGCAGUUAACGCAAUAAGCACUCCGCCUGGGGAGUACGGCCGCAAGGCUAAAACUCAAAGGAAUUGACGGGGGCCCGCACAAGCAGUGGAGCGUGUGGUUUAAUUCGAGGCAACGCGCAGAACCUUACCAGGGUUUGACAUCAUACCGACGUCUGUAGAAACACAGAUUUCCGCUUAGGCGGACGGUAUGACAGGUGU